CUCUAAUUGUAACCUAUGUUGUUGGAGAGAGAAAUAACAUCGUGGAAGAGACAUAAAUGAUGAUCUUUUGUUUCUCCAUCAGAAUAAAGGUGGAUGUUUGGCCUUCAGCCUUUUCUGUCUCACAUCAUAACUUCCUGUAACCUCCUCGUCAGCGUCACUCACCACCGACACCUGAUCAUGUCUGAACUUUUGCAUGUUUUUAUUUGCCUCACACAGUUAUUCUAUAAAUUGCAGUGUGAAGCCACGUUAUGACUCACUGUGAGUCGCAUGUUAUUUUUUAUCUUAAGAAAUUUCUUUUAUCAUAUUGUAAUUUUAUUUUAUUGCCCUAUAUACCAUUUUACAUAUUUAAGUUAUUUUGUAUUUAAAUGUAAUUAAUUAUUUAUUUAUUUUAAUUUUAACUGCUAUUAGAAAUGUCUUGUCUUCAUAUCUAUUCAUGGCAUACGAUUUGAUAGGCGCUGUACAUUUUGAAUUUUUACAAAACCUGCAACACUUUCAAAUUACCA
Long non-coding RNA from Oreochromis aureus, 503 nucleotides. The record is from Ensembl. Lineage: Eukaryota; Metazoa; Chordata; Actinopteri; Cichliformes; Cichlidae.